UACGGGGGGGGCAAGCGUUGUUCGGAAUUACUGGGCGGAAAGGGUUUGUAGGGGGCUUGUUAAGUCAGACGUGAAAUCCCUCAGCUUAACUGGGGAACUGCGUCUGAGACUGGUGAGCUUGAGUGCAGGAGAGGAACGCGGAAUUCCAGGUGUAGCGGUGAAAUGCGUAGAUAUCUGGAGGAACACCGGUGGCGAAGGCGGCGUUCUGGACUGCAACUGACACUGAUGAACGAAAGCCAGGGGAGCAAACGGG
This 253-nucleotide ribosomal RNA is filed under the name uncultured bacterium. RNAcentral describes it as "partial 16S ribosomal RNA". It matches the Rfam family "Bacterial small subunit ribosomal RNA", at positions 524 to 776 of the family's 1533-position model. The record is from RNAcentral.